AUUGAACGCUGGCGGCAGGCCUAACACAUGCAAGUCGAGCGAGCGGCGGACGGGUGAGUAAUGUCUGGGAAACUGCCUGAUGGAGGGGGAUAACUACUGGAAACGGUAGCUAAUACCGCAUACCAUCAGAUGUGCCGAGAUGGGAUUAGCUAGUAGGUGGGGUAACGGCUCACCUAGGCGACGAUCCCUAGCGGGUCUGAGAGGAUGACCAGCCAGACUGCAACUGAGACACGGUCCAGACUCCUACGGGAGGCAGCAGUGGGGAAUAUUGCAGAAGGGGCGCAAGCCUGAUGCAGCCAUGCGGCGUGUGUGAAGAAGGCCUUCGGGUUGUAAAGCACUGUCAGCGGGGGGGCGUUACCCGCAGAAGAAGCACCGGCUAACUCCGUGCCAGCAGCCGCGGUAAUUC
RNAcentral lists this ribosomal RNA (406 nucleotides) under uncultured bacterium. Its description in RNAcentral is "partial 16S ribosomal RNA". It matches the Rfam family "Bacterial small subunit ribosomal RNA", at positions 29 to 526 of the family's 1533-position model. The record is from RNAcentral.